CACGUCUGCUGUGAAAACGCGAGGCUCAACCUCGCGCCUGCARUGGGUACGGGCAGACUAGAGUGCGGUAGGGGAGAUUGGAAUUCCUGGUGUAGCGGUGGAAUGCGCAGAUAUCAGGAGGAACACCGAUGGCGAAGGCAGAUCUCUGGGCCGUAACUGACGCUGAGGAGCGAAAGGGUGGGGAGCAAACAGGCUUAGAUACCCUGGUAGUCCACCCCGUAAACGUUGGGAACUAGUUGUGGGGUCCAUUCCACGGAUUCCGUGACGCAGCUAACGCAUUAAGUUCCCCGCCUGGGGAGUACGGCCGCAAGGCUAAAACUCAAAGGAAUUGACGGGGACCCGCACAAGCGGCGGAGCAUGCGGAUUAAUUCGAUGCAACGCGAAGAACCUUACCAAGGCUUGACAUAUACGAGAACACUGCAGAAAUGCAGGACUCUUUGGACACUCGUAAACAGGUGGUGCAUGGUUGUCGUCAGCUCGUGUCGUGAGAUGUUGGGUUAAGUCCCGCAACGAGCGCAACCCUCGUUCUAUGUUGCCAGCACGUAAUGGUGGGAACUCAUGGGAUACUGCCGGGGUCAACUCGGAGGAAGGUGGGGAUGACGUCAAAUCAUCAUGCCCCUUAUGUCUUGGGCUUCACGCAUGCUACAAUGGCCGGUACAAAGGGCUGCAAUACCGCAAGGUGGAGCGAAUCCCAAAAAGCCGGUCCCAGUUCGGAUUGAGGUCUGCAACUCGACCUCAUGAAGUCGGAGUCGCU
Molecule: ribosomal RNA, 754 nt
Filed under: actinomycete 65-5.UGM050509-02
Lineage: Bacteria; Bacillati; Actinomycetota; Actinomycetes; Actinomycetales
Description: bacterial SSU rRNA
Rfam family: Bacterial small subunit ribosomal RNA
Source: RNAcentral